This 338-nucleotide long non-coding RNA is filed under the name Eutrema salsugineum. RNAcentral's name for it is "long non-coding RNA (ESAL_LNC001757)". The record is from RNAcentral. Lineage: Eukaryota; Viridiplantae; Streptophyta; Magnoliopsida; Brassicales; Brassicaceae.
GGAGAUGAACCGGAUUCAUUCGAAGGGGUUUGGGAAGGUGAUUAGGUGGUGAUGAAGGUGGUGGAGGGUGAUGAAUGAGGUGGAGGGUGAUUGGUGAGGUGAGAUGAGGUGAAAGGGGUGGUUUGGGUCGGGUUUGGAUGUCAACGACCAAGUGCCGCGGUCAGGGGCCAUACGACCGCGGCAACCAAGCGCUUGGCCGCGGUCAGAACUACGCGACCGCGGUCGAUGAUAGGUUUCCCGCGGUCAGAACGUCUGCGACCGCGGGGGCUUAUAUCGCGGCCUCUUCCUGCUUCUCCUUGGUUUCUGCUGGGCCGAGCAAUCAGGUACCAUCCUUCUUU